RNAcentral lists this ribosomal RNA (294 nucleotides) under Mimetus sp. GH1091. Its description in RNAcentral is "partial 12S ribosomal RNA". The record is from RNAcentral. Lineage: Eukaryota; Metazoa; Arthropoda; Arachnida; Araneae; Mimetidae.
AAAACCUAUAUAAACUGGCGGCAUUUCAUCUUACUAGAGGAACAUGUUAUUUAAUCGACAACACACGUUUAAUUUUACUUAUUUUAAAAUUUUAUAUACCUCCAUCCACAAAUUUAUUUUAAAAUAUUUUUAAAAGAAACAUCUAAAAGGUUAGGUAAAGGUGUAAACUAUAAAUAAGAGUAUAAUGUGUUACAUUAAACAUAAUUUAAGGAUUUCUCUCAAAAAAAAGAAUAAAAAGGGAUUUAUAAGUAAUAUUAACAUAAUAUUUUAAUGUGAAUAAGAAAAUAAAUGUGC